This 848-nucleotide non-coding RNA is filed under the name Amblyglyphidodon aureus (golden damselfish). The record is from RNAcentral. Lineage: Eukaryota; Metazoa; Chordata; Actinopteri; Pomacentridae.
CAAAGGCUUGGUCCUGACUUUACUGUCAGCUCUAGCUAAACUUACACAUGCAAGUAUCCGCACCCCUGUGAGAAUGCCCCACAGUUUCCCGCCCGGAAACAAGGAGCCGGUAUCAGGCACGGUCUUUAGCCAGCCCAUGACACCUUGCUUAGCCACACCCUCAAGGGACAUCAGCAGUGAUAAACAUUAAGCCAUGAGUGAAAACUUGACUUAGUUAAAGCUUAAAGAGCCGGUAAAACUCGUGCCAGCCACCGCGGUUAUACGAGAGGCUCAAGUUGACAGACAACGGCGUAAAGAGUGGUUAAGGGAAACUUUCAAACUAAAGCCGAACGUCCUCAAAGCUGUUUAACGCUUCCGAGUUAAGAAGCCCCACUACGAAAGUAGCUUUACCUCACCUGACCCCACGAAAGCUGUGAAACAAACUGGGAUUAGAUACCCCACUAUGCUCAGCCCUAAAAUUUGAUAGGCCCCUACGCCCCCUAUCCGCCCGGGUACUACGAGCACCAGCUUGAAACCCAAAGGACUUGGCGGUGCUUCACAUCCGUCUAGAGGAGCCUGUUCUAGAACCGAUAACCCCCGUUAAACCUCACCCUCCCUUGCUUGUACCGCCUAUAUACCGCCGUCGUCAGYCUAACCUGUGAAGGCCUAGAAGUGAGCAAAAUUGGUAAGACCCAAAACGUCAGGUCGAGGUGUAGUGAAUGAGAGGGGAAGAAAUGGGCUACAUUUCCUAAAUUAGGAAAUACGAAUAAUGAACUGAAAUAAGCAUUUGAAGGUGGAUUUAGCAGUAAGCAGAAAAAACAGAGUGUUUCGCUGAAGUCAUGGCAAUAAAGCACGCACACACCGCCCGU